This 510-nucleotide ribosomal RNA is filed under the name uncultured bacterium. Its description in RNAcentral is "partial 16S ribosomal RNA". It matches the Rfam family "Bacterial small subunit ribosomal RNA", at positions 28 to 523 of the family's 1533-position model. The record is from RNAcentral.
GACGAACGCUGGCGGCGUGCCUAAUACAUGCAAGUCGAGCGAAUGACGAGAAGCUUGCUUCUCUGAUUUAGCGGCGGACGGGUGAGUAACACGUGGGCAACCUGCCCUACAGAUUGGGAUAACUCAGGGAAACCUGGGCUAAUACCGAAUAAUCCUUCGAAUCACAUGUUUUGAAGUUGAAAGGCGCUUCGGCGUCACUGUAGGAUGGGCCCGCGGUGCAUUAGCUAGUUGGUGGGGUAACGGCCUACCAAGGCAACGAUGCAUAGCCGACCUGGGAGGGGGAUCGGCCACAUUGGGACUGAGACACGGCCCAAACUCCUACGGGAGGCAGCAGUAGGGAAUCUUCCACAAUGGACGAAAGUCUGAUGGAGCAACGCCGCGUGAGUGAUGAAGGUUUUCGGAUCGUAAAACUCUGUUGUAAGGGAAGAACAAGUACGUUAGGAAAUGAACGUACCUUGACGGUACCUUAUUAGAAAGCCACGGCUAACUACGUGCCAGCCGCCGCGGUAA